This 440-nucleotide ribosomal RNA is filed under the name uncultured bacterium. RNAcentral's name for it is "partial 16S ribosomal RNA". It matches the Rfam family "Bacterial small subunit ribosomal RNA", at positions 338 to 795 of the family's 1533-position model. The record is from RNAcentral.
CCUACGGGUGGCAGCAGUGGGGAAUAUUGCACAAUGGGGGAAACCCUGAUGCAGCGACGCCGCGUGAGUGAAGAAGUAAUUCGUUAUGUAAAGCUCUAUCAGCAGGGAAGAAAAUGACGGUACCUGAGUAAGAAGCCCCGGCUAACUACGUGCCAGCAGCCGCGGUAAUACGUAGGGGGCAAGCGUUAUCCGGAUUUACUGGGUGGAAAGGGAGCGUAGACGGCAGUGCAAGUCUGGAGUGAAAGGCGGGGGCUCAACCCCCGGACUGCUCUGGGAACUGUACGGCUGGAGUGCAGGAGAGGUAAGUGGAAUUCCUAGUGUAGCGGUGAAAUGCGUAGAUAUUAGGAGGAACACCAGUGGCGAAGGCGGCUUACUGGACUGUAACUGACGUUGAGGCUCGAAAGCGUGGGUAGCAAACAGGAUUAGAUACCCCAGUAGUC